Molecule: long non-coding RNA, 220 nt
Organism: Epinephelus moara (kelp grouper)
Lineage: Eukaryota; Metazoa; Chordata; Actinopteri; Perciformes; Serranidae
Exons: 3
Source: RefSeq, a predicted model, not a curated record
CCAGGCUUGAAGGAAGCUCUUCAUUUCCUGUGCUGUUGAUUGUUGGGCCGGUUUGUGGAGUUUUACUGAUUCUUCUUCUGCUGCUGUUUCUGUAUCUCUACAGAAAGUCAAAAGAUUCAUGCUUUAUGAGGUCUCAGAGCAGCAGUCGGGGCCCUGCUACAGACCACAUGAUCAACCAGGAUGAAACUCAGCUCAAAGAAUAUGCUCCUCCUCUCCAUGG